UACGAAGGGUGCUAGCGUUGUUCGGAAUCAUUGGGCGUAAAGCGUACGUAGGCGGCUUAGCAAGUCGAUUGUGAAAUCCCGAAGCUUAACUUCGUGAAUUGCAACCGAAACUGCUUCGCUCGGGUUUGGUGGGGGAUGAUGGAAUUCCUAGUGUAGGGGUGAAAUCCGUAGAUAUUAGGAGGAACACCGGUGGCGAAAGCGAUCAUCUACGCCAAUACUGACGCUAAGGUACGAAAGCGUGGGGAGCAAACAGG
This 254-nucleotide ribosomal RNA is filed under the name uncultured bacterium. RNAcentral's name for it is "partial 16S ribosomal RNA". It matches the Rfam family "Bacterial small subunit ribosomal RNA", at positions 524 to 776 of the family's 1533-position model. The record is from RNAcentral.